Molecule: ribosomal RNA, 279 nt
Filed under: uncultured bacterium
Lineage: Bacteria
Description: partial 16S ribosomal RNA
Rfam family: Bacterial small subunit ribosomal RNA
Source: RNAcentral
UGCCAGCCGCCGCGGUAAUACGGAGGGUGCGAGCAUUAAUCGGAUUUAUUGGGCGUAAAGAGCGCGUAGGCGGACUAGUAAGUCAGACGUGAAAGCCCGGAGUUCAACUCCGGAAUUGCAUUUGAAACUACUAGCCUUGAGGAUAGGCGGAGAUGACGGAAUUCCACGUGUAGCGGUGAAAUGCGUAGAUAUGUGGAAGAACACCGGUGGCGAAGGCGGUCAUCUAGCUUAUUCCUGACGCUAAGGCACGAAAGCAAGGGGAGCAAACAGGAUUAGAUA